RNAcentral lists this ribosomal RNA (300 nucleotides) under uncultured Myxococcales bacterium. Its description in RNAcentral is "bacterial SSU rRNA". It matches the Rfam family "Bacterial small subunit ribosomal RNA", at positions 115 to 415 of the family's 1533-position model. The record is from RNAcentral. Lineage: Bacteria; Pseudomonadati; Myxococcota; Myxococcia; Myxococcales.
ACGUAGGUAAUCUACCCUCGGGUGGUGGAUAACAUUCCGAAAGGAGUGCUAAUACAGCAUAACACCGCAAGGACAAAGCGGGCCUCUCUAUAGAAGCUCGCGCCUGAGGACGAGCCUGCGGCCCAUCAGCUAGUUGGCAGUGUAAAAGACUACCAAGGCUAAGACGGGUAGCUGGUCUGAGAGGAUGAACAGCCACACUGGAACUGAGACACGGUCCAGACUCCUACGGGAGGCAGCAGUAGGGAAUCUUGCGCAAUGGGCGAAAGCCUGACGCAGCGACGCCGCGUGAGUGAUGAAGGC